UUGGUUUCAGGACCCCCAUAAAUAUCAAAAUCUAUGGAUCCUCAAGUCCCUUAUAUAAAAUGAUGUGGUAUUUGCAUAUAACCUAUGCACAUCCUCUUGUAUACUUUAAAUCAUCUCUAGAUUACUUAUAUUACCUAAUGCAAAUGCUAUAUAAAUAGCUGUUAU
Long non-coding RNA from Sapajus apella (tufted capuchin), 165 nucleotides. RefSeq lists it as uncharacterized. The record is from RefSeq and is a predicted model, not a curated record. Lineage: Eukaryota; Metazoa; Chordata; Mammalia; Primates; Cebidae. The transcript is spliced from 3 exons.